GGGGGGGACACUCGUGGGAAAUGUGAUUUCCAUGCCCAAAGCCCAAGAAGACGCAGCACCUUCCCUGUCCAUGUCGAACGGGUUGACCUCGGUUUUUCUUGAUGUUCUGGUGCUUAGCGGUUCUCGAAUCGCGAAUACGGAUCGGGAGAAAGAACUGAUCAACCUGCUCUUUUAGCAGCCUAAGAAACUGCUGGAGUGCUUCUACCUUCCAUCGCCAAUGUGGCAGGAUAGGGGCUCAACCUAUAGUGGGAUACGCUGUCUAGUCUCCGUCUGCGGUGAGCUGAAGAAGACAACCAGGCUGACCCAACGUAGAGCCGGUUACGGGGCGUUGCUCGGGUGACUUUAAAACUGCAGCUACACUCGUAGAAGCUCUUGUGGCGUUAUCCUCGGACAGGGGUUCAAAUCCCCUCGCCUCCA
This 417-nucleotide transfer-messenger RNA is filed under the name Paenibacillus tyrphae. Its description in RNAcentral is "Paenibacillus tyrfis transfer-messenger RNA". It matches the Rfam family "transfer-messenger RNA", at positions 54 to 371 of the family's 374-position model. Rfam says of the family: Bacterial tmRNA, also known as 10Sa RNA or SsrA, is named for its dual tRNA and mRNA-like properties. Its role is to liberate the mRNA from a stalled ribosome. The record is from RNAcentral. Lineage: Bacteria; Bacillati; Bacillota; Bacilli; Caryophanales; Paenibacillaceae.